UUAGCAUGUAGAAUAAGACAAGACAAUAAUAUUAAAGGAUUUGAAAUCAAAAUAGAUGGGAAAACACAUUCUUUAAAAAUCAGUCAACUCGCAGACGACACAACACUUUUUUUUAAAAACAAAACAAGACAUUUCAAAAGUAUUAAACAUGAUUGAAAUUUUUGGCACUUUAUCAGGGCUUAAAUUAAACAGAUCAAAAACAGAAGGCAUUUGGUUAGGAAAACACAAACAUUGCAAAGAAAAAUAUGAAAACAUCAACUUUACAAACAAAC
Molecule: long non-coding RNA, 272 nt
Filed under: Mytilus galloprovincialis (Mediterranean mussel)
Lineage: Eukaryota; Metazoa; Mollusca; Bivalvia; Mytilida; Mytilidae
Source: RNAcentral